CGAGCAAAAAAUGGCGAGGAACUUGCGUUCGUCCAAGGCUAUUGAUAUAGCUUGUCCAUUUGACCCAGAGAAGCUUAAUGAUGAUCAAGCUGAGCAAUAUUUAAGGCGUUUAUGGAUAUUAAUGGGGAAAGAGAAAGCAAAACACUGUCUGUAUAUAGAUCCCCUUGUCAUCAAAGAUUACUAUGACAACAGAAAGGGCAGGGAUAAAGUGUUAAGGUGUA
This is a long non-coding RNA of Daucus carota subsp. sativus, 221 nucleotides long. RefSeq lists it as uncharacterized. Lineage: Eukaryota; Viridiplantae; Streptophyta; Magnoliopsida; Apiales; Apiaceae. The record is from RefSeq and is a predicted model, not a curated record. The transcript is spliced from 3 exons.